CUGCUUGCUGCGUGAGACUGAGUAACUGCUAGAUCCUUGGACUUCCAUUCACAGCUGCGACUGAACAAUUGUUGGGAAUUGGGCUGCCGACUAGUCGAAUGUCAUAGUAUCCCCAGUGUCUCAAAUGAUGAGAGUAAGCAAAAGUGCAAACCAGAGUGGAAAGUUCAGAUUCUAUCUGUGUUCUCAGCGAGAAGGUGGGACCUUGAAGAUACUAUACAAGCAAGAUCAAGCCGUUGGGAAUAUUAUUUGAAGAAUUAAAGUUGAUUUGCAAG
This 272-nucleotide long non-coding RNA is filed under the name Mus musculus (house mouse). RNAcentral's name for it is "predicted gene 11640". The record is from RNAcentral. Lineage: Eukaryota; Metazoa; Chordata; Mammalia; Rodentia; Muridae.